UCCUCUGAGGGUUUGAUCCUGGCUCAGGGUGAACGCUGGCGGCGUGCCUAACACAUGCAAGUCGUGCGACGAACCUGGAGGGUUUUAUUUUCGGAUAGAACCUUCCGGGGGAAAGCGGCGAACGGGUGAGUAACACUUGAGUAACCUCCCCCUUGGACUGGGAUAAUUCGCCGAAAGGCGAACUAAUACCAGAUAACCUUUUUCAGUGGACUCAUUGGAAAAGGAAAGGUCUGUGAAUAACAGACCGCCGAGGGAUGGGCUCGAGUCCUAUCAGCUAGUUGGUAGGGUAAUGGCCUACCAAGGCGAAGACGGGUAGCUGGUCUGAGAGGACGGCCAGCCACACGGGGAUUGAGACACGGCCCCGACUCCUACGGGAGGCAGCAGUGGGGAAUAUUGGACAAUGCCCGAAAGGGUGAUCCAGCGACGCCGCGUGGGUGAUGAAGGCCUUCGGGUCGUAAAACCCUGUCGAGCGGGAAGAAUUCCGGCUUUGCCGGAUGACGGUACCGUUAAAGGAAGCCACGGCUAACUCCGUGCCAGCAGCCGCGGUAAUACGGAGGUGGCAAGCGUUACCCGGAUUUACUGGGUGUAAAGGGUCCGCAGGCGGUUAAGCAAGUCAGUUUUUAAAUCCUCUGGCUCAACCAGAGAAGUGGAACUGAUACUACUUAACUGUGAGUCCAGAGGGGGGAAACGGAACUGCCGGUGUAGCGGUGAAAUGCGUAGAUAUCGGCAGGAACACCCGUGGCGAAGGCGGUUUCCUACUCUGGUACUGACGCUCAGGGACGAAAGCGUGGGGAGCGAUCGGGAUUAGAUACCCCGGUAGUCCACGCUGUAAACGAUGGGUGCUGGGUGUCGGUUCGGUAAAACGGAUCGGUGCCGAAGUUAACACGUUAAGCACCCCACCUGGGGACUACGGCCGCAAGGUUGAAACCCAAAGGAAUUGACGGGGGCCCGCACAACCGGUGGAACAUGUGGUUUAAUUCGAUGAUACGCGAAGAACCUUACCUGGGCUUGACAUGCUGGUAGUAGAACCCCGAAAGGGGAACGAGCCACCGUAAGGUGGAAGCCAGCACAGGUGGUGCAUGGCUGUCGUCAGCUCGUGCCGUGAGGUGUCGGGUUAAGUCCUUGAACGAGCGCAACCCUUGCCUGUAGUUACUCGCCUUUAAAGGCAGCACUCUACAGGGACUGCCGUGGUUAACACGGAGGAAGGUGGGGAUGACGUCAAGUCAGCACGCCCCUUAUGUCCAGGGCUACACACGUGUUACAAUGGUCGGUACAGAGGGAUGCGAAGCCGUAAGGUGGAGCAAAUCUCAGAAAGCCGACCCCAGUUCGGAUUGCAGGCUGCAACCUGCCUGCAUGAAGCUGGAAUCGGUAGUAAUCGCGGAUCAGCAACGCCGCGGUGAAUACGUUCUCGGGCCUUGUACACACCGCCCGUCACGCCAACUGAGUCGGGGGUACCUGAAAAUGCUUGUAUGAGCAGAUAGGGUACGCUCGGCAAGGAGGGCGAAGUCGUAACAAGGCAGCCGUACCGGAAGGUGCGGCUGGAUCACCUCCUUU
This 1554-nucleotide ribosomal RNA is filed under the name Candidatus Omnitrophota bacterium. RNAcentral's name for it is "bacterial SSU rRNA". It matches the Rfam family "Bacterial small subunit ribosomal RNA". The record is from RNAcentral. Lineage: Bacteria; Pseudomonadati; Candidatus Omnitrophota.